GUGUUGUAUGAAAGGAGAGAAGGUUAGCACUCCCCUAGAUAAGGACGGAAGAGGCCCUCGUGGCCUAUAACAACACAUAAGGCUUUGUCUCUUACUUUGAGACAACCCUAUUUUU
Lingula anatina is the source of this 115-nucleotide non-coding RNA. The record is from Rfam. Lineage: Eukaryota; Metazoa; Brachiopoda; Lingulata; Lingulida; Lingulidae.